This 810-nucleotide ribosomal RNA is filed under the name uncultured bacterium. RNAcentral's name for it is "bacterial SSU rRNA". It matches the Rfam family "Bacterial small subunit ribosomal RNA", at positions 1 to 812 of the family's 1533-position model. The record is from RNAcentral.
UUCGCCCUUAGAGUUUGAUCCUGGCUCAGGAUGAACUCUGGCGGCGUGCUUAACACAUGCAAGUCGAGCGGGGAUUGUGGAAGUCUUCGGACAGAAGCAAUUCUAGCGGCGGACGGGUGAGUAACGCGUGAGCAAUCUGCCUCACACAGGGGGAUAACGCAUCGAAAGAUGUGCUAAUACCGCGUAAGACCACAGCACCGCAUGGUGCAGAGGGUCAAAGGAGCAAUCCGGUUUGAGAUGAGCUCGCGUCCGUUUAGUUAGUUGGUGAGAUAACAGCCCACCAAGGCGACGAUCGGUAGCCGACCUGAGAGGGUGAUCGGCCACAUUGCAACUGAGACACGGUCCACACUCCUACGGGAGGCAGCAGUGGGGAAUAUUGGGCAAUGGGCGAAAGCCUGACCCAGCAACGCCGCGUGAGGGAAGAAGGGUUUUGGCUCGUUAACCUCUGUCCUAUGGGACGAAGAAGUGACGGUACCAUAGGAGGAAGCCCCGGCUAACUACGUGCCAGCAGCCGCGGUAAUAUGUAGGGGGCGAGCGUUGUCUGGAAUGAUUGGGCGUAAAGGGCGCGUAGGCGGCCUGUUAAGUCUGGAGUGAAAGUCUUGCUUUCAAGGUGGGAAUUGCUUUGGAUACUGAUGGGCUCGAGUGCAGGAGAGGAAAGCGGAAUUACCGGUGUAGCGGUGAAAUGCGUAGAGAUCUGGUAGGAACACCAGUGGCGAAGGCGGCUUUCUGGACUGAAUCUGACGCUGAGGCGCGAAAGCGUGGGGAGCAAACACGAUUAGAUACCCUGGUAGUCCACGCGCUAAACGAUGA